This 486-nucleotide ribosomal RNA is filed under the name uncultured marine eukaryote. Its description in RNAcentral is "bacterial SSU rRNA". It matches the Rfam family "Eukaryotic small subunit ribosomal RNA", at positions 582 to 1065 of the family's 1831-position model. The record is from RNAcentral.
AUUCCAGCUCCAAUAGCGUAUUUUUAAGUUGUUGCAGUUAAAAAGCUCGUAGUUGGACUUCUGUGUGGGACGUUGGUCGUGCCUCCUUAAUCGGUGUGCUGACUGAUGGCCUACACUUCCUGAGUGAUUGUGUGCGGUUGUACCUUUACGGGUCGGCCGUACGCGCACUCUCAUUUACUGUGAAAAAAUCGGAGCGUUCAAAGCAGGCAUUUGCUGUGAACACAUUAGCAUGGAAUAAUAAGAUAGGACUUGUUCUUAUUUUUGUUGGUUCUUGAGGAACAAGUAAUGAUUGAUAGGGACGAUUGGGGUGCUAGUAUUCUAUGGCCAGAGGUGAAAUUCUUUGGAUUCAUGGAAGACUAACUAAUGCGAAAGCAUUCACCAAGUGCGUCCUCUUUAAUCAAGAACGAAAGUAGAGGGAUCGAAGAUGAUCAGAUACCGUCGUAGUCUCUACCGUAAACGAUGCCGACUUGGGAUUGGUACACGUUG